UGAGUAGCUGCUUACCAGCUGUGGCUUAUGAUGAGGUGCCUCUCUAAGGGCCCUUUGGAUGCGCUGCCCAGAAUGAAGUUGGUCCUGCUUGUCGGUUCCUUGUCGUUUUCAGAUGGCUGAUGGUGUUGUGGAGCUGUACGUGCUAAGAAGAACAGAAGUAGUUUUUGUGGACUGAGCUUUGUAGAUAUCUGCUAAAAAUUAUUGCUCUUUCUGCUCAUUAUUCCUUUGAGUCCUGCUUUCCUGGACACCAGCUGUCACAGAGGAAGUCUCCAGCUUUUUCGUCCCCUGCCUCCCUGGCUGGCUGAAGUUGCAGCAGCACGGUCUGGAGCGUCUCCUUCACCACCUGGAUCUCCCUCUGCAGAGACUGUGCAAGCUUUAUUAAGGAAUAAUUCCAUAGGGUGGAUUUUGAAGCUGGACAAGCAAACCAACAACCACGUUUCUGUGAAUGAAAGCUAAGGCCAUCUUCAACCACACUGAAGCCAGUGUUCCCUGAUGUACAGAUACAAUUACAGGGCAAGGACCCCAAACUGCAAAUGUAAAAGGCUCAAGGGAAAAAAAACAUAAGCUCAGCUCUAGAAGUAAUUCACCAAUUGGAGGAUUUACAAGAGAAUCAAAAAUACACUUUUUCAUGAGGAAUGAAACAGGUUGACACCAAAACAACUCACUUUAAAAACACAAUGCAGAGGAAGAAUAAUGCACAAGGACAGGCUUUAUCCUUUAUGGAGACCAUCCAUUAUGAAAUGUUGUUUUACCUAAACAUGAUGUCAACACAAUGUCAACAAAAGAAAGAUGGCCUCAGGUUAUGCAAUCAUAAAAUGUGAGUUUCUGCCUUUGAAAAAUUGUGACUACACCAAACCACAGUAAAGCCAUUCAAAAAUAUUGCUACUUCAGGUAGUUAAAGGCCUCUGAAAACCCUUUUGGCUGCUUUUGGUUCUGUUUCACUUCCUCAAAAUUUCAUCUCU
Tympanuchus pallidicinctus (lesser prairie-chicken) is the source of this 962-nucleotide long non-coding RNA. RefSeq lists it as uncharacterized. NCBI's taxonomy places the organism in Eukaryota, Metazoa, Chordata, Aves, Galliformes, Phasianidae. The record is from RefSeq and is a predicted model, not a curated record. The transcript is spliced from 3 exons.